Molecule: long non-coding RNA, 1569 nt
Organism: Athene cunicularia (burrowing owl)
Lineage: Eukaryota; Metazoa; Chordata; Aves; Strigiformes; Strigidae
Source: Ensembl
UCCUCAUACUCUUUUCCCUGUUUCUUUUCUACUUCCCUAUCUCAUGUGUUUUCUCUCUUCCCAGUUUUGUGUCCACUUGACAGCCCAGUGUGUAAUCACCUGGGACAAUAAAAUGAUGGAAGGGGACUCAGCUCUGUGAUGUUAACUGGGGUCAGUUCCCACAGCCACUGUUCAGGGCUGCCAGAAGCCUUGGGUAGACACUACAUCACUUACAUUUGGUUUGUUCAUUCAGCAUCCUAAAUAUGGUGGUGAUAGACAUUCUGAAGACUCUUACUUUGAACCAAACAUUUUCCUCUAAUGGUUCACUGGACAACUUCUCAGACCCUGCACUUACAAAAGAGUACAUGGAGGUCUUGAUGCUUACUGUGUCAAUAAUAUUUUUGACUGUCAUCAUUCAGAAUCUAUUUCGUUUCCUCCUGGUUCUCCCAGAAGCUAAUGCCACCAGCAUAUUGCAAUUUUUGCUUGGCAUGGCCAUACUACAAGUCAAUACAUCUGUCAUGAUAACUUAUAAACUUACUCCUAUUGCAUUUCCUAUGGAACUUCUCUUGGUAAGUGAUCUCCAAAAUGCCAUUGUGAUAAUUGAACUAACAGAGAGUAUAAUAUGCUUUAUUUCAAAGAAUGUGUAACAUAUUCGUUCAAGAUGCUGUUAUAUUUACACACUGAAUCUGUGGUUAAGUCCUUUACUCCUGCAAGAUUAACUGUCUUUAGAUGUAUUGUAUACAGUUUCAGGAACAAAUGUUGUAUAAUCUCUGGUAUUGCUUCUUGUUUUCUUUCCCAGAUUAUCGGAGUCAUCGUUAUUUCUAAUUGCAGUCAUCAUCAUGCUGAAUCAGUAGUGCUGUGGUCAGUAAGAUUCCUCAGAGGUUAGUUUUCAAUGCUGGUUUUGAGGUUGUACUUUUGAGAUACGGAAGAGAUGUUUCAGCCUGUCCUUGAAAUCUGACAUGGGCUGACUUUUACAGCUAGAAGAAUAACUCUUCAAGAAUUUUCAUUACAUCAUCAUUUCUGAGAAUAUACAGAAUUCAAAUUGCAGUUUUCUGUGUUAGAUUCAGGUUUUCUUAGCACACAGAGGAAGGAAUUUGGAUAUUUUUUUUUUGAGAGCAUCUCCAGUGGGGUGCUGGAUGCCUCUGAUGAUGAUCCUGGGUUCAGAGUUAUUGUGGACAGAGCUCAGAACAGGCCUAAACUUACCUGUGCUCUCCUGUAGGUUUGUGCCUCCUACACUGUCGGAUUUAUCAGACCUGAGCAAGAUCAUACCGUAUGCCUUCUCCAUUGCUAUUGUAAGCUCUUUCCUUCUUGGUUUUGCUGGGGAGAGAUACACUUCACAAUAUUGCCAGCAAUCAGGUGAGAACAAAACUACACACACUUCCUAGGCCAAGAAGCAAGCUAAACUCGACUUGCAAAGCCACUACCUACCUGCCAGUGGUAGAAAUGCAAGGACAGAGUGAAUAUGCCAGAUGAUGGUUUUGUAGCAACUUGUUACCCUUUCCUAUUGAAAGUGUAUGUUAUAAGGCAAUAAUGUGAGGCCAAAACACAGCCGCCUUUGACCAGGAGGCCUUUGUAUGUUCCCAGUGAUUG